Molecule: ribosomal RNA, 160 nt
Filed under: uncultured Streptococcus sp.
Lineage: Bacteria; Bacillati; Bacillota; Bacilli; Lactobacillales; Streptococcaceae
Description: partial 16S ribosomal RNA
Rfam family: Bacterial small subunit ribosomal RNA
Source: RNAcentral
UGCUACAAUGGUUGGUACAACGAGUUGCGAGUCGGUGACGGCGAGCUAAUCUCUUAAAGCCAAUCUCAGUUCGGAUUGUAGGCUGCAACUCGCCUACAUGAAGUCGGAAUCGCUAGUAAUCGCGGAUCAGCACGCCGCGGUGAAUACGUUCCCGGGCCUU